GCUAUUUUUAUUCCCAUUCACGCUCACAAUCACACAGCUUAAAACGAUGUAGACAGCAUUUUAAUGGGCUUCUGGCAAUAGAGGCUAGAUCAGCUAUUUUCUGCAGGAAAGAUACUGACUGAUCGAAAUCUCUAAAGUUCUGAAGUAGCAUUUAUGCCAAAAGCUCAUGAAAUACUACAGUUCUUAUUAUUUUUUGGUGGACUGCAGUGCAAUACCCCUGCGCUUGACAUCUACAUAUUUUUAAUUAGCUAGGGGCUUCUCACUUCCACUGUAAGGCCUCACCCCUGACUUGACCUUUUGAAGGUAAUCCAAAGUAAGUCCUGGUUUUCUAAAAAAAAAAAAAAAAAAAAAAAAACAGUUUAGAAUUUAUUAUCUACUAAUUUGACUUUGUGUUUAUGGUAAGGAUUAGGCAUUCUUGUUGCAGAGCAAUUAUUUCGGUACAUGUAUUAACAAGAACAGGCCUGGGACUGUCACUGCUAGCAUGUUAGCAUGCUAGUUUUAGGACGUAGCUCACAGCUAAAUGCUUACAAAACGACUGAAAAAUGACACACAAAAUAUUUUUUUUUAUGUAACUUUUGUUUAUAUAAGAGGGUCAAGCAACCCACCAGAACAAAAUUAUAGCCACAUCCACCAACGCCUCUGCUUUGGAGGCCGACGAGUCUGCUGGCUAGAUGUAGCACUCCCACUCUGAAAUCCACAAAAUCCCACACGCAUCCAGUCUUAGACAAGUGCACUCCCACUGUUUGGCUAUCUCCAGCUACUGAGGCGCUACAUUAUGCCUUUCUUCCUCUGUCCCACUGUACUGAAAUGCAGUUGUGUUUUUGUUUUUUUUAAAUAAAUGUCAAAUUUUAAUAGAAACGUGUCGCCUGAAUCCAAACAAAGUCAUCGCUCCACUUGAAGUGAACGGGUGAGAAUCUGCCAAGGCAUUUGCAAUAGUUUAUUGGGUCGAUAUCACUGCAUUCUAAAAGAUGCUUUUUCUUUGUUUAAUUGACCAUUAGACGGGGAAUUCGACAGAACUUCCACUGAAUUGAGUGAAUGAACGCACAGAAGCCACAGCUCACAAACGGGGCAGGGAGAUGGAGUUGGGGGACAUCAGGAUGCAGAGAGAGGGAGAGACAGAAGCAGACCAGCAGGAGGAAGACGUUGCCCUGGUAACUGCUGUCAGAGAGAAUGAGCCACUGUGUAUGAAGAUUCCUCCCCCUUGGCCCGGACACUGGUGGUGGAGAGGAUGGUGAAGACUGAAUGGAUAUCGAAGAAGCCACGAGCUGAAGGUGGAGGAGGGUUGGGGGAAGGUUGAAGCUCAGCCAACGAGCAGAAGCCGAUGAGCAGCUGGACCGUAUCAAGGGAGCGACGCUUGAUGAUUGGAGGAGGAGACCAUCACCGAUAGGUCGGAAUCGAGGCGCAUGAUGUCAUGCUUGGUUGAGCAGGUGAGAUUAAUCUUGACGAGUCUUCCAGUUUGAAUUUAACCAUUUCCUUCUUUUCCCACAACCUUUCCCAAACCAGAGCAUCUUCAGCCCUCAAACCCAAGUUCUGCCUGUUUAGGUUCUGGAUCUCUAGACAAUCUGCCUCAUGCUGCCUUUGGAGAUUGUCCAGUUCCUCAGAAAGACUCUCCAGCUCUCCAGUUUGCUGAUCCAUAGUCGGCUGUGCCUUCUUCAAGUCCAUCUGAAGAUCCUGGAGUGUUCUUCUCAGAGAUUGUUGGAGCAUUUCCAAACAAUCCACUGCGUCUCUCAUGUCCGUGUGUUCCUGCCCUGUCUCCUCAGGCGCUGCACGAAGAGACACCAGCUGUGCAUUUAAUGCAUCGUUUUCAUUUGCCAGCAUAUCACAUUUUGUUUUCAGGUCUGGUCGCCUGCAAGCACUUCUGCUAGACUUGGAGCGCUCAAUCUUUCUACAGAGAUUUUGUCCAAUAUGUUUUAGUUCUACGUUUUCUUUCUCCAGUCUCUCAUCCAAAAUGCUGGCAAGCUCAUCAGGCACAGGUUGGUCACUACCAUCUUCAGCCAUCUUUUUUUUACCUGUGUUGCUGGAAAGUCCAAGAUUGUUGGGGUAUGAAAUCCAGUUUUGUUCUUGUGUCUCAGCGCAAUCUAACAUUCAGAACAAAUGAGUAAGGAUUAAAGGGAGAUGGAUCACAGUCUGAUUUUGUUAUUUUAUAUGAAAUAUUGUCAUUUUGGUCCUUAAAACGUCCACUU
Molecule: long non-coding RNA, 2183 nt
Organism: Xiphophorus maculatus (southern platyfish)
Lineage: Eukaryota; Metazoa; Chordata; Actinopteri; Cyprinodontiformes; Poeciliidae
Exons: 3
Source: RefSeq, a predicted model, not a curated record